UGGGGAUUCGCCAAGUGGUAAGGCAGCGGACUUUGACUCCGCCAUUCGGGGGUUCGAAUCCCUCAUCCCCAA
Molecule: non-coding RNA, 72 nt
Organism: Candidatus Gracilibacteria bacterium CG1_02_38_174
Lineage: Bacteria; Candidatus Altimarinota
Source: Rfam